Long non-coding RNA from Heteronotia binoei (common prickly gecko), 636 nucleotides. RefSeq lists it as uncharacterized. The transcript is spliced from 2 exons. The record is from RefSeq and is a predicted model, not a curated record. Lineage: Eukaryota; Metazoa; Chordata; Lepidosauria; Squamata; Gekkonidae.
CUUGUCCUGAGUGUGGGGUUGGCAGGUUCUGUCUCGGCUGUGUUGGGAUUGGCUUGGAGAAGAAAGGGAGAAAUUAAGUUUAUGCUUGUGUUUUGAUAUCUGUGUGUGUGGGUGGCAAUAGCAGUGGACAAAGUCAAGGCUUAAGUCUUUCAGUUCUGUUUCUUUAGUAACUGGAGCAAAUGUUCCUGAUCUGCAUCCCAUCCUGAUGUGAUGCCAUCAGAUCACUGAUUCUCAGCAGCAGAGAAUGCGUUACUUCUGUAUGCCCCAAUUUCCUCAGCACAGUCUGAAUGAUCUUUGCCUUGGAAUGGACUAUAAAUGCUAGUUGUGGGACAGCAGAUUUAGCUGUCUCAUUUUUCCCUUCAGAUGCUGACUUGCAGUGCCCAUAAAAGUGUGAAAAGUUCCAGAAAUGUAAAGGUGUUGUCUUAACCUUCUGUGAUGGCAGCAAUCACAGCAUUAAGCAUGGCAGCAGUCAACUGUUGGGAGUUCAGUAGAGUUUUUGGGACGAGGCGGCUGCUUGUACCUACUAUUCAUGAAGAAAGCAAACCUUUAAAAACACAGAAAAUGUGCAGUUGAAUGGUUCUCCCUUCCACUCACCUUAAAUAAAUUUGUGGCUUCCCUUUGUUUGGGGGGGAAAGA